CGGGCCCUUGGCGAACGGCAUCGCGUUGGCGUUGCUGACGUCGGCGCGGUUGAAGUUCGGUUCGUCGUGAUCGUCC
This 76-nucleotide transfer RNA is filed under the name Duganella sp. HH101. RNAcentral's name for it is "tRNA-Val". Lineage: Bacteria; Pseudomonadati; Pseudomonadota; Betaproteobacteria; Burkholderiales; Oxalobacteraceae. The record is from RNAcentral.